Molecule: long non-coding RNA, 2652 nt
Filed under: Anser brachyrhynchus (Pink-footed goose)
Lineage: Eukaryota; Metazoa; Chordata; Aves; Anseriformes; Anatidae
Description: lncRNA (ENSABRG00000010187.1)
Source: RNAcentral
GUUGCAACACUAGACAUUUGCAUCAGCAUCUUCAAGAGUGUUCAGUGCAGCCACCAGUGAAAUGCCCGAUACCGGUCGUGGUGGGGGAAAGGACACUGAACUGGUCUGAGCAGCUGGGUGAUCCAGUGAGGCAGUCCUUAUGCUGAAAGAGCAUUCCCCAUGGCUACACACACAGACAUCAGAUUUAAAAAUAACCAAGUUCCACCUCGACUGUGGGGGAGUGAAAGACAGAAGACAGAUGCAUUGGCUGCCAGCUAAUCUUGACAUCCACUUUUUCUUUCCUCACCCUGGCAGCCAGCAGUUGCAGACACAUGUACAGGUUGUUCCCGCCAGCAUCCUCAAGGCUCGUGACCAGAUAUUAAAGCAGCUUCAAUCCCACUGCCUAGAUAAAGCAAACAUGACUGGUGGAAAACAAAAAAUAUCACCCAAAUGUCCAAGGGAACCACAAACAGAGCUGCUGAUCUAUACCCAGCACAGAUUUUUCAAAAGGACACGGAUUUUCAUGGCUCAGCGUUCUAAUUUGUUUGACCAUUUAUUUCCAAGGAGCACAUCCAAGAGUGACAAGCUCCAUUUAUUUCAAUGGGCAGCAUAUGCCAGCAACUUGAAUGGCGUAUGCUAUAAAAGAGAAUGGAUGUUCUCACGCAUUCUGGAAAGCUGUCCUUUAGACAGAUAGAGGACGUGUCGGUAAUGGAAGUAUAGCUCUGCUCUGACAAGCAAUGCCAUAAAAGCGGCAUUGUGGGUCCCUGUGUUUGAUGUCUCCCCAUGUAAGCCCUGUGAGAUUUGCUCUGACUGCAAGUGAAAAAUGAUUGUCCAAAUACCUGAUCCAGCUCUGGAGGGCCCAGCUGGGUUCCUUCACUCUUGUGCUUUGCCAGGCCAGAAUGACAUUUCUGCAGGACAAAUGUCGACUCUGGGCUAUUAGUGCUGCACUCGUGUGAACUAUUAGGGCCAAUUCAAGCCUAUUCUUGCAAAUGACAUUACCUUCAAAUGAUAGUGUGACAUGAAUCUGAGAUGUUCAUGCAAGCACAUAGCCCCUUUCCAAAAAACACCACCACAUGGCAGUGCUGUUUUCAGUCUCCCUCUUCUGACUCCACCCUGCAGAUGCCCCUGUUGUGAAUCUUGCCUUUCCAAAGUCUGGUCCCAUGGGCACCCUGGAAAACCCUGCGUUAUGAGUCUCUCGUGAAGAUUGAACACCAUCUAUCAGUCAAUAUUGUUUGGUGACCUGUGAUGCUUUACUGAUGGGCUGUAAGUCUGACAGCAGUUGGUAGCUUGUAUUCACUAUCUUUAAUUAAUUAACUAAAAUUAGUUCCAUGUUAAGUCCCAUCUAGUGAGCAAUCUGGGUCACAAGGUUUUACUAGCUUGCCAGUGAGCCCUGGAAGUCAAAACAGAGCUUAUUCUUGCUUUGCAGUGAGAUUUGUAGGGACAAAGGUGGAAUGUGUUUCUGUUCAGAGUGAGUCUUUCUCAGCCACAUUUUAUUGUCAUUAAACAUAGGAGUUUGCUCCGAAGAAAAUGUAUGUUGUGUGAGCUGCAAUUCCAACCACAAUGGAAUAGAAGGGCAAUGGCUAAAGCCAGGUAAAGAAAAAGAGUUGCUGAUGGCUCCCUCACAGCUCUCCAGCAUGGCAAAAUGUAACCCUGAGUUCUCCUCCAGGAGAUGUCUGCCCACUUGAGCCUCGAGGUUCACUAGCAUGGAUUUGGCUUGCAGUAUGGCCACAGCCAUGCAAUGCCCCUGGACAUCCAUGAUACAAACUUGAGACCCCUGUUAUGCCUUGUUUUUUUUUCCUAUCCACUUUCUCUUCAUCAGGUGCUGCUCAGAGGCUUUGGUUUUGCUUUUUAUGGGGAAGCCAAACCAAUGUUAUUCAUGCCAUUGAGGUCAUCUUUUACACCAUUUGGGCAUUUCAGUUAGUCUUAAUGCCAGUGAGGUUCUUGCUUAGUGAAGAGAGCAACCAUAGGCUUGCGUGGGCCGUGACUGUAUUUGAGGAUACAAGUCAUCAGGUGGCCUAUGCAGCCCCCUUUGGGACCAUGCUGAUUCCCAUAGCACAGAUGUUCACUUGCACAAGGCCAUAUUCUAAUCAAAAAGAUACAGUGAGCUGAACAAAGAGCUUUUGUUGUCCAUCCUUUGACAAAAUGGAAUAGUUUUAGUUUCCAUCAACUGCACUUUUGCCCCAGAAUUUUGGGUCAUUUCUGGUGACCUCCACAUCCCAGUCAGUUUGCUCUGGGACUGUUGAGCUGUGACCAGACUCUUCCUCCACGUGUGAGCAGCGUGAGGAAGAGGAGAUCUUCAUAGGGAGAAUUUGGCCCUGCUUCUGGGCUCCAAGUCUCUCUUCAGAGAAGAGUCAGGCUGUCAGCUCCAGAAUCUCUGACUGGCUUCUUAGGGAUACAGAAGCUACACCCUGGCUCUUGCAGUUGAUGUGAGAUUUGCGGUAUCCCAGCAGGGCAGCUGGGGAGAUGCCGUAGGCCUCGCAUGCCCAGGGCAGGGUGGAAACCUCUGGGUUUAACACGGCUGGGAGCAGAGCAGUGGGGUAAUUGGAUCACUGCAGUAGAAAACAGCGCUUUAAGAGGUGUCAGAAAUGUCUGCUCAUAACCAAAGGGCAUUGAGAAACAACUGCUCGGUCUCUUCCUGGAAAUUAAAAAUAAAAAGCAAGCCAUGUGAUGACA